GCGGGCGUGUUGAAAUUGGUAGACAAGNNNNCAAGCCAGACUUAGGAUCUGGUGCCUUGUGCGUAUGGGUUCGAGUCCCUUCGCCCGCACAA
Molecule: transfer RNA, 92 nt
Filed under: Rikenellaceae bacterium
Lineage: Bacteria; Pseudomonadati; Bacteroidota; Bacteroidia; Bacteroidales; Rikenellaceae
Description: tRNA-Leu
Rfam family: tRNA
About the family: Transfer RNA (tRNA) molecules are approximately 80 nucleotides in length. Their secondary structure includes four short double-helical elements and three loops (D, anti-codon, and T loops).
Source: RNAcentral